This 3356-nucleotide ribosomal RNA is filed under the name Durio zibethinus. RNAcentral describes it as "eukaryotic LSU rRNA". It matches the Rfam family "Eukaryotic large subunit ribosomal RNA". Lineage: Eukaryota; Viridiplantae; Streptophyta; Magnoliopsida; Malvales; Malvaceae. The record is from RNAcentral.
CGCGACCCCAGGUCAAGCGGGAUCACCCACUGAGUUUAAGCAUAUCAAUAAGCGAAGGAAAAGAAACUUACCAAGAUUCCCCUAGUAAUGACGAGCGAACUGAGAAGAGCCCAGCUUGAGAAUUGGGCACCCUCGACAUCUGAAUUAUAGUCUGGAGAAACGUCUUCAACGGCAGACCGGGCCCAAGUCCCCUAGAAAUGGGCACCGAAGAGGGUGAGAGCCCCAUUGUGCUCGGACCUUAUAGUACCACGAGGCGCUGUCUGCGAGUCAGGUUGUUUGGGAAUGUAGCCCUAAUCAGGCGGUAAAUUUCAUCCAAGGCUAAAUACGGGCGAGAGAUCGAUAGCGAACAAGUACAGCAAGGGAAAGAUGAAAAAGACUUUGAAAAGAGAGUCAAAAAGUGCUUGAAAUUGUCAGGAGGGAAGUAGAUGGGGGCUGGCGAUGCACCCCGAUCGGAUGUGGAAUGACGAAAGCUGGUCCACCAAUUGGCUAGGGGCAUGGAUCGACACGGGUCGCGGCGGUAGCCCAAGCCUGAGCUUUCGAUGUGCCCAUGGAGAUGUCAUCGCCACGAUCGUGGAAUGCAGCACACGCCGUCUUGGUGUGCCCCGGCACCAGCAUGCUCCAAGCGUUGGCCUGCGGGCUCCCCAUCCGGCCCGUCUUGAAACACAGACUAAAGAGUCUGACAUGUGUGUGAGUCAAUGGACCAGAAAACCCGUAAGAUGCAAGGAAGCUGAUUGGUAGGAUCCCUCGCGGGUGCACUACCGAUCGACCUUGAUCUUCUGAGAAGGGUUCGAGUGCGAGCAUGCCCGUCAGGACCCGAAAGAUGGUGAACUAUGCCUGAACGGGGCGAAGCUAGAGGAAACUCUGGAGGAGGCCCACAACGAUACUGACGUGUAAAUCGUUCAUCUGACUUGGGUAUAGGGGUGAAAGACUAAUCGAACCGUCUAGUAGCUGGUUCCUUUCAAAGUUUCCCUCAGGAUAGUUGAAGCCCCCGUCGAGUUCUAUCGGGUAAAGCCAAUGAUUAGAGGCAUCAGGGGUGCAAUGCCCUCGACCUAUUCUCAAACUUUAAAUAGGUAGGACAGCACAGUUGCUCCGUUGAGUCAUGCCAUGGAAUCGAGAGCUCCAAGUGGGCCAUUUUUGGUAAGCAGAACUAGCGAUGCGAGAUGAACUGAAAGCCAGGUUACGGUGCCUAACAACGUGUUAACCCAGAACCAAUAAAGGGUGUUGGUUGAUUAAGACAGUAGGAUGGUGGUCAUGGAAGUCGAAAUUCGCUAAGGAGUGUGUAACAACUCACUUGCCGAAUCAACUAGCCCCAAAAAUGGAUGGCACUUAAGCACACGACCUAUACCCAACCAUCGAGGCAAGGGCCAGGCCUCGAUGAGUAGGAGGGCACGAUGGUCACCCUAAAACCUGGGGCGCGAGCUCGGGCUGAGCGGUCAUCGAUGCAGAUCUUGGUGGUAGUAGCAAAUAUUCAAAUGAGAACUUUGAAGGCUGAAGAGGGAAAGGUUCCAUGUGAACGGCACUUACACAUGGGUUAGUCGAUCCUAAGAGACGGGGGAAGCCCGUCCGAUAGCGCGUCCCGUGUGAGCUUUGAAAGGUAAUCCGGUUAAAAUUCUUGAACUAGGACGUGACGGUUCAAGGCAACAUUAGGGAGUCCGGAGACGUCGGUGGAGGCCUUAGAAAAAGUUAUUUUUUCUGUUUAACGGCCCGUCCACCCUGGAAAUGGCUCAGCCGGAGGUAGGGCCCAGCAGCUGGAAAUCACCGCAAGUCGACGUGUAUCCGGUGCGCCCCGACGGCCUUAAUCUAGAGGCCGAGUGCUGUCCACUUCCGAUCAUACUCAUAACCAUAUAGGUCUCUAAAGUGAACACCAUUUGUCGAUGGAACAAUGUAGGUAAGAGAAGUUGGCAACAGUGGAUUCGUAACCUCAGAUAGAGUUGCUUCUGAGGGCUAGCAACGGGUCCAUAGUCCCACCCAUGGCUAUCCGUGCCUACGACGAGCUAAUUUCAUCGAGAGUUCAUCGAUCCUACCGGGGAGGACUGGGAACCGUGAUCGAGGGCUUCUCGAGCGACAACAGUCGCGCAGACUGGUAUGAUAAGGGGAAUCCGAUUGUUUAAUUAAAACAAAGCAUUGCGAUGGUCCUGCGGAUGCUCACGUAAUGUGAUUUCUGCCAGUGCUCUGAAUGUCAAGUGAAGAAAUUCAACCAAGCGCGGGUAAACGGCAAGAGUAACUAUGACUCUCUUAAGGUAGCCAAAUGCCUCGUCAUGUAAUUAGUGACGCGUAUGAAUGGAUUAACGAGAUUCCCACUGUCCCUGUCUACUAUCCAGUGAAACAAUAGCCAAGGGAACGGGCUUAGUAGAAUCAAUGGGGAAAGAAGACCCUAUUGAGCUUGACUCUAGUCUGACUUUGUGAAAUGACUUGAGAGGUGUAGGAUAAGUGGAAGCCUCCAGGCGAAAUUGAAAUACCACUACUUUUAACGUUAUUUUACUUAUUCCAUGAAUCGGAGGUGGGGCACGACCCUUCUUUUGGACCCAAGGCCGAUCUCAGUCGAUCGAUCCGGGCAAAAGACAUUGUCAGGUGGGGAGUUUGGCUAGGGUGGCACAUCUGUUAAAAGAAAACGUAGGUGUCCUAAAAGGAGCUCAACGAGAAUAGAAAUCUCGUGUGGAAUAAAAGGGUAAAAACUCAUUUGAUUUUGAUUUCCAGUACGAAUACAAACCGUGAAAGCAUGGCCUAUCGAUCCUUUAGACUUUCAAGAUUUGAAGCUAGAGGUGUCAGAAAAGUUACCACAGGGAUAAUUGGCUUGUGGCAACCAAGCGUUCAUAGCGGUGUUACUUUUUGAUCCUUUGAUGUCGGCUCUUCCUAUCAUUGUGAAGCAGAAUUCACCAAGUAUUGGAUUGUUCACCCACCAAUAGGGAACGUGAGCUGGGUUUAGACCGUCAUGAGACAAGUUAGUUUUUCCCUACUGAUGGCAGCGUCAUGAUUGUAAUUCAACCUAGUACGAGAGGAACCAUUGAUUUGCACAAUUGGUCAUCGUGCUUGGUUGAAAAGCCAGUGGCAUGAAGCUACCAUGCAUUGGAUUAUGACUGAAUCCCUCUAAGUCAGAAUCUGGACUAGAAGUGACGCGCGCGCCCGUCGCUCGAUUGUCGACCCGUAGUAAGGGCCCAUGGCCCCUAAGGGCACGUGUCGUAGGUGCAGCCCCCACGGCGGAUGAGCCGCGCAGGCCUCCUUGGAGUACAAUUCCCCAUCGAGUGAUGGGUAGAAUCCUUUGCAGAUGACUUAAAUACGUAACGGGGUAUUGUAGUGGCAGAGUGGCCUUGUUGCCACGAUCCAUUGAGCUUCAGCCCUUUGUUGCUUCGAUUCGU